This 126-nucleotide small RNA is filed under the name Marmota monax (woodchuck). Lineage: Eukaryota; Metazoa; Chordata; Mammalia; Rodentia; Sciuridae. The record is from RNAcentral.
GCUAGGCAUUGCGGUGCAUGCCUGUAAUCCCAGUGACUCAGGAGGCUGAGGCAGGAGGAUUGCAAGUUUGAGACCCCUUUGGCAAUUUAGCAAGGCCCUAAGCAACUCAACGAGACCCUGUCUCUA